CGAUUGGUCCUUUUUCUUUUUAGCCUUGGAUUGCUCGUCUUCCUCAUCCAAAUCAGAAUCAAGGACAAGCCUCCUUCUCAUGCAGCCAAGCCUUUUUCGCUUUAGACUCUCACUCAUGGCGGGUUUGGAGCAAGACCAAGCUUGGUCAAACCUUCGCCUUCUUCUUGGGCAGCAGCCACGCCUCCUAUUGGUCUUCCAAGACUGAAAUCGGGCUCAUGCACUUUAAAUCCUC
Molecule: long non-coding RNA, 232 nt
Filed under: Carica papaya (papaya)
Lineage: Eukaryota; Viridiplantae; Streptophyta; Magnoliopsida; Brassicales; Caricaceae
Description: long non-coding RNA (CPAP_LNC009461)
Source: RNAcentral